AAAGAGUCCCUCCCGACUGUUUACCAAAAACACAGCACUUUGCCAACUCGUAAGAGGAAGUAUAAGGUGUGACGCCUGCCCGGUGCUCGAAGGUUAAGAGGAUGCGUCAGUCGCAAGAUGAAGCGUUGAAUUGAAGCCCGAGUAAACGGCGGCCGUAACUAUAACGGUCCUAAGGUAGCGAAAUUCCUUGUCGGUUAAAUACCGACCUGCAUGAAUGGCGUAACGAGAUGGGAGCUGUCUCAACCAGAGAUUCAGUGAAAUUGUAGUGGAGGUGAAAAUUCCUCCUACCCGCGGCAAGACGGAGAGACCCCGUGGACCUUUACUACAACUUAGCACUGCUAAUGGGAAUAUCAUGCGCAGGAUAGGUGGGAGGCUUUGAAGUAAGGGCUUUGGCUCUUAUGGAGCCAUCCUUGAGAUACCACCCUUGAUGUUUCUGUUAGCUAACUGGCCUGUGUUAUCCACAGGCAGGACAAUGCUUGGUGGGUAGUUUGACUGGGGCGGUCG
This 504-nucleotide ribosomal RNA is filed under the name Helicobacter pylori. Its description in RNAcentral is "bacterial LSU rRNA". It matches the Rfam family "Bacterial large subunit ribosomal RNA", at positions 1783 to 2285 of the family's 2925-position model. The record is from RNAcentral. Lineage: Bacteria; Pseudomonadati; Campylobacterota; Epsilonproteobacteria; Campylobacterales; Helicobacteraceae.